GGCGCACGGGUGAGUAACGCGUGGAUAAUCUACCCUUAAGUUUGGAAUAACGUACCGAAAGGUGCGCUAAUACCGGAUAAUACUGGGCAACUACUGUUGUUUAGUCAAAGAAGGCUUCUGUUUACAUGCUUUUGCUGAAGGAUGAGUCCGCGUACCAUUAGCUAGUUGGUAGGGUAAAAGCCUACCAAGGCGACGAUGGUUAGCUGGUCUGAGAGGAUGAUCAGCCACACUGGAACUGAGACACGGUCCAGACUCCUACGGGAGGCAGCAGUGAGGAAUAUUGCGCAAUGGGGGCAACCCUGACGCAGCAACGCCGCGUGAGUGAGGAAGGUUUUCGGACCGUAAAGCUCUGUCGAGCGGGAAGAAAUGCAUGGUGGCUAAUAUCCAUCAUGCUUGACGGUACCGCUAGAGGAAGCACCGGCUAACUCCGUGCCAGCAGCCGCGGUAAUACGGGGGGUGCAAGCGUUGUUCGGAAUUAUUGGGCGUAAAGAGCGUGUAGGCGGCUGGACAAGUCAGAUGUGAAAGCCCUGGGCUUAACUCAGGAAGUGCAUUUGAAACUGUUCGGCUG
RNAcentral lists this ribosomal RNA (568 nucleotides) under uncultured Syntrophaceae bacterium. RNAcentral describes it as "bacterial SSU rRNA". It matches the Rfam family "Bacterial small subunit ribosomal RNA", at positions 97 to 643 of the family's 1533-position model. The record is from RNAcentral. Lineage: Bacteria; Pseudomonadati; Thermodesulfobacteriota; Syntrophia; Syntrophales; Syntrophaceae.